Molecule: RNA transcript, 2684 nt
Organism: Vigna unguiculata (cowpea)
Lineage: Eukaryota; Viridiplantae; Streptophyta; Magnoliopsida; Fabales; Fabaceae
Gene name: ABC transporter G family member 22-like
Source: RefSeq, a predicted model, not a curated record
GGAUGUGUUAAUUCAUCGAUUGUGUUGUUUUUCUGAGUUGAGUUUUGGUCUCCUUUUCCAUUUUGGGAUCAUCAUCACCACUAAAAACAACUCUUUAUUCUGCUUUCAGUGGUGACUGAGAACAUGGAGAAAGCAAACAACACAUCAUUAGUGAGAACAAAAUCUGAUCAGUUAGUGGAGUCUAUGGUGGCGGCGAUGAAGUCGCCGCCGUCGAGCGACCACUCUGCGAACGGGGUGGUGGAAGGUGGCGGCACCCUGUCGAGGAAGUCGAGCCGGCGGCUGACCGGCGCGUCACCGGGACGCGGCGGCGGAGGGAAGAACACUCACAUAAGAAAGUCUAGAAGUGCUCAAAUAAGCCAAAUGAAGUUGGAUUUUGAUGAUCUGAGCAGUGGUGCAGCACUUAGCAGAGCCUCAAGUGCUAGCUUGGGACUCUCUUUCUCCUUCACUGGCUUCACCAUGCCUCCUGAAGAAAUCGCUGACUCCAAACCCUUCAGCGAUGAUGAUAUUCCUGAAGAUAUCGAAGCUGGACCUAGGACAAAGUUUCAAACGGAACCUACUCUACCCAUAUUUCUCAAGUUCACAGAUGUGAGCUACAAGGUAGUGAUCAAAGGCAUGACAACAACUGAGGAGAAGGAUAUCUUGAAUGGGAUAACUGGUUCUGUAAAUCCAGGGGAAGUUUUGGCAUUGAUGGGUCCCUCAGGAAGUGGAAAAACAACCCUUUUAAACCUUCUUGGAGGCAGGUUAUGCCAUCCUAUAAGUGGUGGAUCUAUCACUUACAAUGAUCAACCAUACUCUAAGUUCCUUAAGAGCAGGAUAGGAUUUGUGACACAAGAUGAUGUUCUGUUUCCUCACUUAACUGUGAAAGAGACUUUGACAUACGCAGCCAGGCUAAGGCUUCCAAAGACAUUCACAAAGGAGCAGAAGGAAAAACGAGCUUUGGAUGUAAUCUAUGAGCUUGGCUUGGAGAGGUGCCAAGACACUAUGAUUGGAGGUUCCUUUGUGCGUGGAGUAUCUGGUGGUGAGAGGAAGAGAGUUUGUAUUGGAAAUGAGAUCAUAAUCAACCCUUCUCUUCUUUUUCUUGAUGAACCAACAUCUGGUUUGGAUUCCACAACAGCCUUGAGGAUCGUUCAGAUGCUACAAGACAUAGCAGAGGCUGGUAAAACAGUGGUGACGACAAUUCACCAACCAUCAAGCAGACUCUUUCACAAAUUUGACAAGUUGAUCCUUCUUGGAAAAGGGAGCUUGCUUUACUUUGGAAAAGCAUCAGAAGCAAUGACUUACUUCCAGUCUAUUGGAUGCUCACCACUUAUUUCCAUGAACCCAGCAGAGUUUUUGCUAGACCUUGCCAAUGGAAACAUAAAUGAUGUUUCCCUACCCUCAGAGUUGGAAGAUAGAGUACACAUGGAAAAUGCAGAAGCAGAAACACCAAAUGGGAAACCAUCACCAGCAGUUGUACACGAGUAUCUGGUGGAGGCAUAUGAAACUCGAGUUGCAGAAACAGAAAAGAAAAGACUAAUGGUUCCUAUACCUCUUGAUGAAGCAGUGAAGUCUAAAGUGUGUUCUCAUAAGAGACAAUGGGGAGCAAGUUGGGAUGAGCAAUAUUCCAUAUUAUUUUGGAGAGGAAUCAAAGAACGUAGACAUGAUUAUUUUAGCUGGUUAAGAAUCACUCAAGUUUUAUCUACUGCUGUCAUUUUAGGAUUACUCUGGUGGCAAUCAGACACUAAGAACCCAAAAGAUCUGCAAGAUCAGGCAGGAUUGCUAUUCUUCAUUGCCGUUUUCUGGGGAUUUUUUCCUGUUUUCACUGCAAUAUUCACAUUUCCUCAAGAAAGAGCCAUGUUGAGUAAGGAGAGAGCAGCAGAUAUGUACAGACUAAGUGCAUACUUCUUGGCUAGAACCACCAGUGACCUUCCACUUGACCUCAUUUUACCAGUGCUUUUUCUACUUGUUGUUUAUUUCAUGGCCGGUCUCAGACUCAGUGUUGCACCAUUUUUCCUCACCAUUCUCACUGUCUUCCUCUGCAUAGUGGCUGCUCAGGGACUUGGACUUGCUAUUGGAGCCACAUUAAUGGACUUGAAAAGAGCAACAACUUUAGCUUCAGUUACUGUGAUGACUUUCAUGCUGGCUGGAGGAUUUUUUGUACAGAGAGUCCCCAUAUUUUUUUCAUGGAUCCGGUACAUGUCUUUCAACUACCACACCUACAAACUUCUGCUGAAGGUGCAAUAUGAACACAUUUCACCAAUCAUAAAUGGUAUCAGAAUUGAUAGUGGUGCAACAGAGGUAGCUGCUCUAAUAGUCAUGGUUUUUGGCUACCGUUUCUUGGCAUAUCUUUCUCUCAGGAGAAUGAAACUUCAAUCAGGGGCUUAACUUAAACUUCACUCUUUGCAUUGCAUGAAUGAAGAAGACUCAAACACCAAAUGGUGCACCUAGGCUUGAUCAGGCUUUGGAAAAGGAAGAAAGAGAAAAGGCAAAUGAUGUAUGCAAAUGAUGGAUAUAUAACUAUUAGAAACCCCUUUAGACUUAAUAAAAAUGUGAUAAGUAGAAAUGAUUUUUGGGAAGAUUAAGGAGGUAACUUAAGUUACUAUAUUGAGGGCUUAAAGAUGCUAAUAGUAUAAUGUGCAUCAAAAUAUAUCACAGCAUAAGAAGAAAAACAUAACGAGGGUACAAUGUGAUAGUUAUGUACAAUC